GGUGAACGCUGGCGGCGUGCCUAAUACAUGCAAGUCGAGCGAACAGAUGAGAAGCUUGCUUCUCUGAUGUUAGCGGCGGACGGGUGAGUAACACGUGGGUAACCUACCUAUAAGACUGGGAUAACUCCGGGAAACCGGGGCUAAUACCGGAUAAUAUUUUGAACCGCAUGGUUCAAUAGUGAAAGACGGUUUCGGCUGUCACUUAUAGAUGGACCCGCGCCGUAUUAGCUAGUUGGUAAGGUAACGGCUUACCAAGGCGACGAUACGUAGCCGACCUGAGAGGGUGACCGGCAACACUGGAACUGAGACACGGUCCAGACUCCUACGGGAGGCAGCAGUAGGGAAUCUUCCGCAAUGGGCGAAAGCCUGACGGAGCAACGCCGCGUGAGUGAUGAAGGUCUUCGGAUCGUAAAACUCUGUUGUUAGGGAAGAACAAAUUUGUUAGUAACUGAACAAGUCUUGACGGUACCUAACCAGAAAGCCACGGCUAACUACGUGCCAGCCGCCGCAGUAA
This 514-nucleotide ribosomal RNA is filed under the name uncultured bacterium. RNAcentral's name for it is "partial 16S ribosomal RNA". It matches the Rfam family "Bacterial small subunit ribosomal RNA", at positions 28 to 523 of the family's 1533-position model. The record is from RNAcentral.